This 466-nucleotide ribosomal RNA is filed under the name uncultured bacterium. RNAcentral's name for it is "partial 16S ribosomal RNA". It matches the Rfam family "Bacterial small subunit ribosomal RNA", at positions 28 to 507 of the family's 1533-position model. The record is from RNAcentral.
GAUGAACGCUGGCGGCGUGCUUAACACAUGCAAGUCGAACGAUGAAGCCCAGCUUGCUGGGUGGAUUAGUGGCGAACGGGUGAGUAACACGUGAGUAACCUGCUCUUGACUCUGGGAUAAGCCUGGGAAACUGGGUCUAAUACUGGAUAUGACUUCUCAUCGCAUGGUGGGGGGUGGAAAGAUUUAUUGGUCUUGGAUGGACUCGCGGCCUAUCAGCUUUUUGGUGAGGUAAUGGCUCACCAAGGCGACGACGGGUAGCCGGCCUGAGAGGGUGACCGGCCACACUGGGACUGAGACACGGCCCAGACUCCUACGGGAGGCAGCAGUGGGGAAUAUUGCACAAUGGGCGCAAGCCUGAUGCAGCGACGCCGCGUGAGGGAUGACGGCCUUCGGGUUGUAAACCUCUUUCAGUAGGGAAGAAGCGAGAGUGACGGUACCUGCAGAAGAAGCGCCGGCUAACUACGUG